ACCUGCGGAAGGAUCAUUGUCGUGACCCUGACCAAAAUAGACCGUGAACAUGUCAUCCAUGCCGCCGGGCGAUGGGUUUUGCACCUGUCUCCCGGAACAGGGUGCCAACCCUCUUCGUUGGGGGAGGCACCCUAAAAGAACCCACGGCGCCGUAUGGCGUCAAGGAACACUGAUGCUGCCUUGCACGGUGUGGGCCGGCUUGCCGGUUCCACCCUCGUGCAGCGAAUGUUAAUCCACAUGACUCUCGGCAACGGAUAUCUCGGCUCUCGCAUCGAUGAAGAACGUAGCAAAAUGCGAUACCUGGUGUGAAUUGCAGAAUCCCGUGAACCAUCGAGUUUUUGAACGCAAGUUGCGCCCGAGGCCUUCUGGCCGAGGGCACGUCUGCCUGGGCGUCACGCCAAAAGACACUCCCCAUCCAUCACGAUGAGGAAGUGGUAUUUGGCUCCCCGUGCAUCUAUGUGCGGAGGGCCUAAGUUGGGGCUGUCGGCGGUGCCGAUCACAGCGCAAGGUGGAUGACGGAAGUUGUUCUCGGUGCUAUGAUUCGGACUGCUUUCGUUUAUGCCCUUAGCACCCAUGUACCGAAGUGGACAUCGCUCGGACCGCGACCCCAGGUCAGUCGGGACUACCCGCCGAAUUUAAGCAUAUUAAUAAGCGG
Molecule: ribosomal RNA, 655 nt
Filed under: Bouteloua breviseta
Lineage: Eukaryota; Viridiplantae; Streptophyta; Magnoliopsida; Poales; Poaceae
Description: eukaryotic LSU rRNA
Rfam family: 5.8S ribosomal RNA (bases 240-395)
Source: RNAcentral